RNAcentral lists this transfer RNA (87 nucleotides) under Puniceicoccales bacterium. RNAcentral's name for it is "tRNA-Tyr". It matches the Rfam family "tRNA". Rfam says of the family: Transfer RNA (tRNA) molecules are approximately 80 nucleotides in length. Their secondary structure includes four short double-helical elements and three loops (D, anti-codon, and T loops). Lineage: Bacteria; Pseudomonadati; Verrucomicrobiota; Opitutia; Puniceicoccales. The record is from RNAcentral.
GGUGGGGUAACCAAGUGGCUAAAGGGUGCAGACUGUAAAUUUGCCGAGCGUCGCUCUUCGGGGGUUCAAAUCCCUCCCCCACCACCA